This 468-nucleotide ribosomal RNA is filed under the name uncultured bacterium. RNAcentral describes it as "partial 16S ribosomal RNA". It matches the Rfam family "Bacterial small subunit ribosomal RNA", at positions 28 to 507 of the family's 1533-position model. The record is from RNAcentral.
GACGAACGCUGGCGGCGUGCUUAACACAUGCAAGUCGAACGGAAAGGCCCUGCUUUUGUGGGGUGCUCGAGUGGCGAACGGGUGAGUAACACGUGAGUAACCUGCCCUUGACUUUGGGAUAACUUCAGGAAACUGGGGCUAAUACCGGAUAGGAGCUCCUGCUGCAUGGUGGGGGUUGGAAAGUUUCGGCGGUUGGGGAUGGACUCGCGGCUUAUCAGCUUGUUGGUGGGGUAGUGGCUUACCAAGGCUUUGACGGGUAGCCGGCCUGAGAGGGUGACCGGCCACAGUGGGACUGAGAUACGGCCCAGACUCCUACGGGAGGCAGCAGUGGGGAAUAGUGCACAAUGGGCGGAAGCCUGAUGCAGCAACGCCGCGUGCGGGAUGACGGCCUUCGGGUUGUAAACCGCUUUCGCCUGUGACGAAGCGUGAGUGACGGUAAUGGGUAGAGAAGCACCGGCUAACUACGUG